Molecule: non-coding RNA, 85 nt
Organism: Parelaphostrongylus tenuis
Lineage: Eukaryota; Metazoa; Nematoda; Chromadorea; Rhabditida; Metastrongylidae
Source: the annotation of a GenBank genome assembly
GGCGUUAGUGCAAAAAACCUUAGUGCAACGGUUAGCAUACGCUCCCGGAAAGAGUGAGAUCUGGGUUCGAAUCCCGGCUGACCCA